RNAcentral lists this ribosomal RNA (978 nucleotides) under uncultured Chroococcales cyanobacterium. RNAcentral describes it as "bacterial SSU rRNA". It matches the Rfam family "Bacterial small subunit ribosomal RNA", at positions 356 to 1350 of the family's 1533-position model. The record is from RNAcentral. Lineage: Bacteria; Bacillati; Cyanobacteriota; Cyanophyceae; Chroococcales.
GGGGAAUUUUCCGCAAUGGGCGAAAGCCUGACGGAGCAACGCCGCGUGAGGGAUGAAGGCCUCUGGGCUGUAAACCUCUUUUUUCAAGGAAGAAGAUCUGACGGUACUUGAAGAAUAAGCCACGGCUAAUUCCGUGCCAGCAGCCGCGGUAAUACGGGAGUGGCAAGCGUUAUCCGGAAUUAUUGGGCGUAAAGCGUCCGCAGGCGGCCUUGUAAGUCUGUUGUUAAAGCGUGGAGCUUAACUCCAUUUGAGCAAUGGAAACUGCAAGGCUUGAGUGUGGUAGGGGCAGAGGGAAUUCCCGGUGUAGCGGUGAAAUGCGUAGAUAUCGGGAAGAACACCAGUGGCGAAGGCGCUCUGCUGGGCCAUAACUGACGCUCAUGGACGAAAGCCAGGGGAGCGAAAGGGAUUAGAUACCCCUGUAGUCCUGGCCGUAAACGAUGAACACUAGGUGUCGGGGGAAUCGACCCCCUCGGUGUCGUAGCCAACGCGUUAAGUGUUCCGCCUGGGGAGUACGCACGCAAGUGUGAAACUCAAAGGAAUUGACGGGGGCCCGCACAAGCGGUGGAGUAUGUGGUUUAAUUCGAUGCAACGCGAAGAACCUUACCAGGGUUUGACAUCCUGCGAAUCCCUUGGAAACGAGGGAGUGCCUUCGGGAGCGCAGUGACAGGUGGUGCAUGGCUGUCGUCAGCUCGUGUCGUGAGAUGUUGGGUUAAGUCCCGCAACGAGCGCAACCCACGUCGUUAGUUGCCAGCAUUCAGUUGGGCACUCUAGCGAGACCGCCGGUGAUAAACCGGAGGAAGGUGUGGAUGACGUCAAGUCAUCAUGCCCCUUACAUCCUGGGCUACACACGUACUACAAUGCUACGGACAAAGGGCAGCAAACUCGCGAGAGCUAGCAAAUCCCAUAAACCGUGGCUCAGUUCAGAUCGUAGGCUGCAACUCGCCUACGUGAAGGAGGAAUCGCUAGUAAUUGCAGGUC